GAUGAACGCUAGCUACAGGCUUAACACAUGCAAGUCGAGGGGCAGCACUAGGUAGCAAUACUGAGGUGGCGACCGGCGCACGGGUGCGUAACGCGUAUCCAACCUUCCCGAUACUCUUGGAUAGCCUUCCGAAAGGGAGAUUAAUACAAGAUGGUGUUUCAAUUCCGCAUGUUAUUGAAACUAAGAUUUAUCGGUAUCGGAUGGGGAUGCGUGACAUUAGAUAGUAGGCGGGUAACGGCCCACCUAGUCUACGAUGUCUAGGGGUUCUGAGAGGAAGGUCCCCCANACUGGUACUGAGACACGGACCAGACC
RNAcentral lists this ribosomal RNA (312 nucleotides) under uncultured bacterium. RNAcentral describes it as "bacterial SSU rRNA". It matches the Rfam family "Bacterial small subunit ribosomal RNA", at positions 28 to 337 of the family's 1533-position model. The record is from RNAcentral.